UCCUGGCUCAGGACGAACGCUGGCGGCGUGCUUCAUACAUGCAAGUCGAACGAUAAGGUCUCUUCGGAGACACAUAAGUGGCGGACGGGUGAGUAAAAUGUAGAGAAUCUGCCCUAGAGUGGGGGACAACAGUUGGAAACGACUGCUAAUACCGCAUAUGAGCGUACCUGCAAUGGUAUUCUUGAAAACUCCGGUGCUCUGGGAUGAGUCUGCAUCUGAUUAGCUAGUUGGCGGUGUAAUGGACCACCAAGGCGACGAUCAGUAGCUGGUUUGAGAGGAUGAUCAGCCACAAUGGGACUGAGACACGGCCCAUACUCCUACGGGAGGCAGCAGUAGGGAAUUUUGCGCAAUGGGCGAAAGCCUGACGCCAGCAACGCCGCGUGAUUGAAUAAGCCCUUCGGGGUGUAAAGAUCUGUCAGUAGGGACGAAACUUGACGGUACCUACAGAGGAAGCAUCGGCUAACUCCGUGCCAGCCGCCGC
Molecule: ribosomal RNA, 481 nt
Filed under: uncultured bacterium
Lineage: Bacteria
Description: bacterial SSU rRNA
Rfam family: Bacterial small subunit ribosomal RNA
Source: RNAcentral